UACGAAGGGGGCUAGCGUUGCUCGGAAUCACUGGGCGUAAAGCGCGCGCAGGCGGUCCUUUAAGUCUGAUGUGAAAUCCCGUGGCUUAACCACGGGCGGUCAUUGGAAACUGGGGGACUUGAGUGCAGAAGAGAAGAGCGGAAUUCCACGUGUAGCGGUGAAAUGCGUAGAGAUGUGGAGGAACACCAGUGGCGAAGGCGGCUCUUUGGUCUGUAACUGACGCUGAGGCGCGAAAGCGUGGGGAGCGAACAGG
This 253-nucleotide ribosomal RNA is filed under the name uncultured bacterium. Its description in RNAcentral is "partial 16S ribosomal RNA". It matches the Rfam family "Bacterial small subunit ribosomal RNA", at positions 524 to 776 of the family's 1533-position model. The record is from RNAcentral.